This is a long non-coding RNA of Malaya genurostris, 1368 nucleotides long. RefSeq lists it as uncharacterized. The transcript is spliced from 3 exons. Lineage: Eukaryota; Metazoa; Arthropoda; Insecta; Diptera; Culicidae. The record is from RefSeq and is a predicted model, not a curated record.
ACUGCACGGCUGCCGUGCAAGUCGUGGUCGUCCUUCGACCGGGCAGCAAGGAGCCCCGGCAUUUCGAUGGCCUCUUGUGUAGAUUUUUUUGUUCGCCAUGGAUUGCGACGUUUCCUUCCAUCCGUUUAGCUGGAAGCUCCGAUGGAAAGAAGAAUUCUUCGGCAGCAGUGAAGAAAUAAAUCGUCCCAGGUGCGGCCACUUGAGGACGCAUGCGAAUUUUUUUUUAUUGCGAAAAAAAUCGUCCAUGCGUACACGCUAUUAGCCGGUGUGUUGGAGUUUUUUUCUGCUUACUAACGGGGACGUGAGCUCAAGAACAUCCUGAUCGCUUCCAAAUGCGGUGGAAUUGUUGCGAAAUUGUUGCCCGUGGUUGCUGAUGGCCGCUUGAUGAAAACGAUAAUGGCCAGAGUGAUGAUAUUUAUGGGCUCUAAUCGCUGUCUCGUCAAAUCGAUUCAAAGAGGCACAAUGGCUAAACUAAUUGCCGGUUGGAGUGUUGAUAUUCUCUAACCGCAUGAACAUUUUUUAAACCUAAACCUCACAGAUAUAUGAGGCCAAUCGAACCAAACCCCCACAAAUCAAUCGGCAAACCAAUAAAUUGAUAGGUUAUUGUGGCAUUUUGAUUGACGGAUAGAAUAAUGGGGAUGCGGUUAGUUUUAAUAUGGCGCCCUGAGUAUAAGGUAAUUACGAUAAAUUAUGUACUUAUUGAUGUACGAACGAACACUUGCUUCUAAUCAGUAAGUCAUUUAUCUGCGCAGGAGUCUUUUUCAAUCCGAAUUCUAUGCAGUGUUUCGUGCAAAGUUAAAUUGAAAUCGUACGUUCAAUACACAUAAAAUUUUGUUUGGAUUUAAGUCCUGAUUGAAAAAGAUGGCAAUAGUGCAGUACAUACAAUCUAUAAAACUACCCUGCUAAGAUGUUUUCGAAAAUAAAACUCAACUAAACUAUUGGCUUUUGUUUUCCAAUAACUACCGAGCCUUAUAUGUGCCUCAGAAUUUAACAUUGUCACGUAUUAUCAAUGAAAGGAUCCAAUCCAUAUUCGGUUUAUUACCGUCUCAUUUGCGGCCCUUACACGAGACAAUACUAUUGUCAAUUCAAGGAGUAUUGACAAUACUUUUGAUCGUGUAGUGGAAACUUCAUUGGAUUGACGAAAAUAUUGUCAAAAAAUCAAAACUGUUCAUCAAUCCUACAAUAUUUUCUCUCCAGAGAGGAAACAGUUAAAUAUGUACAAUGACCUUUUCUCUCAUAUGUUUCAAUAUUCAGUUGCAAUAUUAAAGUUCCAAACCCUUGAUUUUUUCGAAAAACGCGGACUCAAGGUACCAAGCCAUUUGGAUUGACGAUAUUGACAAUACCUGGAUUGACAAUAAUAUUGUCACG